This 363-nucleotide ribosomal RNA is filed under the name uncultured Flavobacteriaceae bacterium. RNAcentral describes it as "bacterial LSU rRNA". It matches the Rfam family "Bacterial large subunit ribosomal RNA", at positions 1 to 380 of the family's 2925-position model. The record is from RNAcentral. Lineage: Bacteria; Pseudomonadati; Bacteroidota; Flavobacteriia; Flavobacteriales; Flavobacteriaceae.
AAUAAGCUAAUUAAGAGCGUAAGGUGGAUGCCUUGGCUCUCAGAGGCGAUGAAGGACGUGAUAAGCUGCGAUAAGCUACGGGGAUUGGCACACACAAUUUGAUCCGUAGAUUUCCGAAUGGGGAAACCCACUAUAUUGAAGAUAUAGUAUCCGUUAAGGAAGCAAACCCAGGGAACUGAAACGUCUAAGUACCUGGAGGAAUAGAAAACAAAAGUGAUUCCGCUAGUAGUGGCGAGCGAACGCGGAACAGCCCAAACCAAAAUUGUUUCGGCAAUUUUGGGGUUGUAGGACCACGAUAUUGAAUGUUUAAUGAAUUAGAAUUCUUUGGAAAAAGAAACCAUAGAGGGUGAUAGUCCCGUAUAA